UACGUAGGGGGCGAGCGUUGUCCGGAUUCAUUGGGCGUAAAGAGCUCGUAGGCGGUUUGGCAAGUCGGAUGUGAAAUCUCUGGGCUCAACUCAGAGAGGCCAUUCGAGACUGCUAUGACUAGAGUCCGGUAGGGGACCAUGGAAUUCCUGGUGUAGCGGUGAAAUGCGCAGAUAUCAGGAAGAACACCCGUGGCGAAGGCGGCUCUCUGGGACGGUACUGACGCUGAGACGCGAAAGCAUGGGGAGCGAACAGG
RNAcentral lists this ribosomal RNA (254 nucleotides) under uncultured bacterium. RNAcentral describes it as "partial 16S ribosomal RNA". It matches the Rfam family "Bacterial small subunit ribosomal RNA", at positions 524 to 776 of the family's 1533-position model. The record is from RNAcentral.